Molecule: long non-coding RNA, 311 nt
Organism: Pantherophis guttatus
Lineage: Eukaryota; Metazoa; Chordata; Lepidosauria; Squamata; Colubridae
Source: RefSeq, a predicted model, not a curated record
AAUUCCGGACGACGCAAGAGCUAAGGCUAUGUGCUUUUGGGAUCGAAUUGCUGCUAGAAUCAAUCUAAUUAGGAAAGUUUUACCAGUUCCUCCUGGCGCAUCGAAGAAGAAGAUUUCUCCAACCCGUUAUUGACAGUUUGCAGUAUUUGAUGAUGAGACUACUGGGCCUCCAGAACAGGAUAAAAAGAGCUGGGAAUAUUUUUUAUCCUGUCCCUGCAAUGAGAACUGGGAUUGUCUGCUUUUGGAGGAUGGCAACGGUGAACUCUAAUUGUAUAUUAUUAAAAUAAUAUGAUUUCCCCCUUUAACAAGCU